Molecule: non-coding RNA, 81 nt
Filed under: uncultured Prevotella sp.
Lineage: Bacteria; Pseudomonadati; Bacteroidota; Bacteroidia; Bacteroidales; Prevotellaceae
Description: TPP riboswitch (THI element)
Rfam family: TPP riboswitch aptamer (THI element)
About the family: Vitamin B(1) in its active form thiamin pyrophosphate (TPP) is an essential coenzyme that is synthesised by coupling of pyrimidine and thiazole moieties in bacteria. The previously detected thiamin-regulatory element, thi box was extended, resulting in a new, highly conserved RNA secondary structure, the THI element, which is widely distributed in eubacteria and also occurs in some archaea.
Source: RNAcentral
UUCAAGGGGUGCCUGCGGGUGCAGGCUGAGAUGAUACCCUCUAACCUGAUCCAGAUUAUACUGGCGUAGGGAUGGAAUAAA